This is an RNA transcript of Vigna radiata var. radiata (mung bean), 2563 nucleotides long. RefSeq lists it as uncharacterized. NCBI's taxonomy places the organism in Eukaryota, Viridiplantae, Streptophyta, Magnoliopsida, Fabales, Fabaceae. The record is from RefSeq and is a predicted model, not a curated record. The transcript is spliced from 5 exons.
AAUAAAUCAAUAAUUUUUAUUGAUAAAUAUAGAUUAUAGAUAAUAAAUAAAUAAAUUUAUUUUGGUUUACUCGAAAACCUUGUUUAUUUUCUCUUUAUUAAUGCACACCGAGACUUGAAAAAGGAGAAUAAUCAGAUACAGGCUUUUCUCACUCCUCCCUCUCCGUCACACCAUCACUUACCUCCGUUAAUCGAAUCACAAUGGAAACUCACGAAAACGACAGCGUCGUCAUCGAGGCGGAGCCUUCCACUUCCCACGCUCCCGACGGCGAAGAUCCCCUCCGUCAGAGCUCCGAAGUGUUGGCGAGAGGCUUGUCUUCCAUGCUCUCUUCCGUGAUUACUGAUUUCGAUUGCAGAGCUAACCAAACUCUCCGAAGCCAGGACCACCUCUCUUCCGUCCUCGAUCGUCUCACUGGAGAACUUGAUCAGUUGCUUGAAGAUGCACCUUUGCCAUUCAUAAUGCAGCAUGCUGCCAAGAUUUCCAGUGUUAGGAAAAGAGUUUCAUCCCUGAAUUCACUUCUAAAGUCCAUACAAGGGCGGAUUGAUAAUAUAGAUCGCAUGAUAUCUUUUGGUACUGCUCAUGGCUUUAAGAGGAACUGUUGAAUCCACAUACACUUGCCAUGAGAGAACUGGAAUCAAUCACUCUAGCUGGCAUUUUCCAGAUCAAUCAUGGAGUCAUUGUGAUAGUUAUCUUAUCGAGCAGACCACAAGCAUCACGGCUGUUCUGGCCUGAUAAGGAAAGUGAGAAAAACAACCAAUGAAGUUCUUGGUUAAAUGUCGUCAGAAUAAGCAGCUUCCAUUCUUCCCUCAUGUACUUAAUAUGUAAUGUAUCCUUGAAUUGAAUUCUUAUUGUCAAGCACAUACCAGCUUAGUGCCAGUUAAGGAGUAAGGAUUUUAGAAUAGGAAUCCAGUAACAAGCUGUAUUUGGGUUACUUUUGACACUUCGUGUUCAAAGUCUCUAGUAAAAAUUCAUUUCAUUCAUUAAGGAAUUCUUAUUUUAAACUGAAAACCUGUCUUAAAUGAUAAAUUUUAUAUUAACAAAUAUAAGAAUUGGAAUAUUCUAUUACCUUCGAUAGUAUUUACAAGUAGUCAUUUUAUUUCAAUUUUAUGCUUGUCUAUACCUAUCCCAUUCCCUGCUUUUAGGAAAUGGGGGAAAAUGAAGAAAGCAGGAAGCCAUAGCAUGGUGGGGCUACUUAACAGGUUCCUCAUCUAAAUUAGCAUACGUUGUUUCUUGGUAAUAAAUCGGGCCGUUUGAUUCAUUGAACGUGUGAGACAGAGUCUGCAAAUGCAACCCAAUUCCAUCGAACUAUUGGCACCUUCUAGACCAUCUAGAUGCCUAGAAGGUGAUAUAUAGUUGUAAUAUUUUCAAGACGUGCAUUGUUUAUAUAUAAAUACUGAAGAUUGGAACGAUAUGGUGACACAUGCAAAAUUUGCCUAGCAUUACCAGAUCUUAUUUCCCGAAGCAAGUGGCCAGAAUCAUGCCUUUGUUUGCUGUUGUCGUUUUGCUGCACCACUGAGUGAAGUAGAAAAGGAAAGAAAGGAAAUAACAUAACAUCUCAGCUCCAACCAAAGGUUCUUCUGAUUGAGUCCAGCUCAUGAAGAUACUGUGAUGUAACUCCAGUAGUUCACAUGCCCCCACACUGUAGUACGGACUUCACAGGUGGUGGUAGCAUUAUUCUAUUUCUAAAACAUCCAUCCUCUCACCUGCUCUUCAAUCUUACAAGGGGGACCUGCAAUGUUGAUGAAGAUGAGGACAGAGAUAUGUUCCCAAGUCAGUCAUCUCUUCCUUCAAAUUUCUUUCAUGUCAAAAAGUAGAAGGACUAAUACUAAUAAUUGAAAUGAAGUGAUGAAUGGAGUGAUUAAUUUAAUCAUAUGUUCCUUCUUUUUUAACUGUUUUAUCUUUCACUAUACAGAAAUUAUUUGUUAUUUGUGUCUGCCCUUCUCAUCUUUAGAUUCUCAUCCUUUUUAGCCGUUAGCAUUUUAGCAACAGCACCCUCCUUUUCUCAUCCCUUUUGUGCACUGACCCAGUGACCCACUCCCUAUGCAAGAGAGAGGGGAGGGACGGGGGAGGGGGUUGGGGUUGGCAGUGAUGCAUAUGAUAGGGUAAAAGGGAUUGGAUGAGGGGGAAUCUGUGCAGAGACCCAACUGUACAUAAGCACGUUCUCUCUUUGAUGCCCCAAAACUCUCCCAUCAGCCUUUUGCAGGCUCCCUUAUUAUUCAACAAACAUAUUGUUUUCUUUAUGAGACACAGAAAAUCAGAGGAAGGAGAUCAUGCUUUAAAUACACUCCCUCCCUCCUAUUAAAUAAUACUACUAGGUCUACUAGUAUUUAAUUAAUGUAUUUAAUGGUAGGGCUUUCAUUAAUUAACCUGAGGUUGCUUUUCAGCUGAUUUAGCUCGCAAGAUAGAGAUGAUUGCACCUAUCCAUCCUCAUCUCCAUAUAAAGCAAAAGAGAGAAAGUAAUGACAAAGUUGAGCUCAGUAACCAAAACAACCAAACUAUUAUAAGUCACGUCAUACAAUCCUGACCUCGCUGGCUGGCUUGCUGGCUUUCGUAAUGAAAUUAA